This 486-nucleotide ribosomal RNA is filed under the name Desulfovibrionaceae bacterium enrichment culture clone MS_NAP_O4. RNAcentral describes it as "bacterial SSU rRNA". It matches the Rfam family "Bacterial small subunit ribosomal RNA", at positions 46 to 511 of the family's 1533-position model. The record is from RNAcentral. Lineage: Bacteria; Pseudomonadati; Thermodesulfobacteriota; Desulfovibrionia; Desulfovibrionales; Desulfovibrionaceae.
GCUUACACAUGCAAGUCGAGCGAGAAAGCUCUCUUCGGAGAGUGAGUAGAGCGGCGCACGGGUGAGUAACGCGUGGAUGAUCUACCCUGAAGAUCGGGAUAACAGUUGGAAACGACUGCUAAUACCGUAUAUCCUGCAUAUUUAACUUUAUGUGGUAAAGAUGGCCUCUAUUUAUAAGCUAUCGCUUUGGGAUGAGUCCGCGUCUCAUUAGAUAGUUGGUGGGGUAAUGGCCUACCAAGUCUACGAUGAGUAGCAGGUCUGAGAGGAUGAUCUGCCACACUGGGACUGAAACACGGCCCAGACUCCUACGGGAGGCAGCAGUGGGGAAUAUUGCGCAAUGGGGGAAACCCUGACGCAGCGACGCCGCGUGUAGGAAGAAGGCUUUCGGGUCGUAAACUACUGUCAAGANGGAAGAAACUGUUUAGGUAUAANACGCCUAUUCACUGACGGUACCUCUAGAGGAAGCACCGGCUAACUCCGUGCGAC